UACGUAGGGUCCGAGCGUUGUCCGGAGUUACUGGGCGUAAAGCGCGCGCAGGCGGCGGUGUUGGCCCGGCGUGAAAGCCCCCGGCUCAACCGGGGAGAGUCGUCGGGGACCGCACCGCUUGAGGGCGGUAGGGGCUGGUGGAAUGCCUGGUGUGGUGGUGAAAUGCGUAGAGAUCAGGCAGAACACCUGGGGCGAAGGCGGCCAGCUGGGCCGUCCCUGACGCUGAGGCGCGAAGGCGUGGGGAGCGAACGGG
RNAcentral lists this ribosomal RNA (253 nucleotides) under uncultured bacterium. RNAcentral's name for it is "partial 16S ribosomal RNA". It matches the Rfam family "Bacterial small subunit ribosomal RNA", at positions 524 to 776 of the family's 1533-position model. The record is from RNAcentral.